UCCAUAAGUAAUAAAAGGUCCGUUUAGGUCCCUUAACUUUAUUUAAAGUAUCGGUUUGAUCCUUUCUGUUAAUUUAAUUCAAAAAAAAUGUUAAGUUUAGGGACCAAACUAAUACUAAUUAAAUAAGAUAAGGGAUCAAAAUUUAACAUGUUUUUUGAAUUAAAUUUUUUUAAUAAAGUUUAGGGGCCAAAACAGACCUUUUAUUACUUAUGGGA
Molecule: microRNA precursor, 215 nt
Organism: Medicago truncatula (barrel medic)
Lineage: Eukaryota; Viridiplantae; Streptophyta; Magnoliopsida; Fabales; Fabaceae
Rfam family: MIR2655 microRNA precursor family
Source: Rfam